This 708-nucleotide ribosomal RNA is filed under the name Escherichia coli. RNAcentral describes it as "partial 23S ribosomal RNA". It matches the Rfam family "Bacterial large subunit ribosomal RNA", at positions 2190 to 2892 of the family's 2925-position model. The record is from RNAcentral. Lineage: Bacteria; Pseudomonadati; Pseudomonadota; Gammaproteobacteria; Enterobacterales; Enterobacteriaceae.
CCUUGAAAUACCACCCUUUAAUGUUUGAUGUUCUAACGUUGACCCGUGAUCCGGGUUGCGGACAGUGUCUGGUGGGUAGUUUGACUGGGGCGGUCUCCUCCUAAAGAGUAACGGAGGAGCACGAAGGUUGGCUAAUCCUGGUCGGACAUCAGGAGGUUAGUGCAAUGGCAUAAGCCAGCUUGACUGCGAGCGUGACGGCGCGAGCAGGUGCGAAAGCAGGUCAUAGUGAUCCGGUGGUUCUGAAUGGAAGGGCCAUCGCUCAACGGAUAAAAGGUACUCCGGGGAUAACAGGCUGAUACCGCCCAAGAGUUCAUAUCGACGGCGGUGUUUGGCACCUCGAUGUCGGCUCAUCACAUCCUGGGGCUGAAGUAGGUCCCAAGGGUAUGGCUGUUCGCCAUUUAAAGUGGUACGCGAGCUGGGUUUAGAACGUCGUGAGACAGUUCGGUCCCUAUCUGCCGUGGGCGCUGGAGAACUGAGGGGGGCUGCUCCUAGUACGAGAGGACCGGAGUGGACGCAUCACUGGUGUUCGGGUUGUCAUGCCAAUGGCACUGCCCGGUAGCUAAAUGCGGAAGAGAUAAGUGCUGAAAGCAUCUAAGCACGAAACUUGCCCCGAGAUGAGUUCUCCCUGACUCCUUGAGAGUCCUGAAGGAACGUUGAAGACGACGACGUUGAUAGGCCGGGUGUGUAAGCGCAGCGAUGCGUUGAGCU